RNAcentral lists this ribosomal RNA (253 nucleotides) under uncultured bacterium. Its description in RNAcentral is "partial 16S ribosomal RNA". It matches the Rfam family "Bacterial small subunit ribosomal RNA", at positions 524 to 776 of the family's 1533-position model. The record is from RNAcentral.
UACGUAGGGUGCGAGCGUUAAUCGGAAUUACUGGGCGUAAAGCGUGCGCAGGCGGCGCGUUAAGACAGGUGUGAAAGCCCCGAGCUUAACUUGGGAAUUGCGCUUGUAACUGGCGUGCUGGAGUGUGGCAGAGGGAGGUGGAAUUCCACGUGUAGCAGUGAAAUGCGUAGAGAUGUGGAGGAACACCGAUGGCGAAGGCAGCCUCCUGGGCCAGCACUGACGCUCAUGCACGAAAGCGUGGGGAGCAAACAGG